This is a long non-coding RNA of Trifolium pratense (red clover), 1876 nucleotides long. RefSeq lists it as uncharacterized. NCBI's taxonomy places the organism in Eukaryota, Viridiplantae, Streptophyta, Magnoliopsida, Fabales, Fabaceae. The record is from RefSeq and is a predicted model, not a curated record. The transcript is spliced from 3 exons.
CAAAUGCAAUGAUUACUGUUGAUGUACUACAAGCUAAAACUAGAAGUACACUUAUGUCUUCCAGAAUCCAAACUUUGAAAAUUUGAUUUAGCUAAGCUGAGUUGGCUACUAAUAGUAGUACAUUAAGUAGUACACCUAAAAUUUCCUAGUACAUGUAUAUGUACUGCAAAAUUGCAAAGUACAAACAUCCCCUCCUUUAUGUGAUUAUUACAUAUAGAAUCAGAAUCAAUCAAUAACUUCAUUCAACAUUGCAUUUUAUGCAUAAUUUAACAAACCAAAUUUUCAAUGAGAAGGGAAUCUUAUUGAAUAUGAGAAGCUGCUUAACACUAAGGAUGUCUAACAUGGAGGAGAUUUCAAUUUUAUAGCUUGCACACACGUACGGAUAGUGGGUGAAUUUGGUGGUUAAGAAUUAAGAUUGAACAAUGUGUUUGAUCUUUCUGAAAGAUUUGAAAGGAUUCGAUGCUUCACCAACCGGAAUUAGGUCACUUUCAAAGGUGUAGGGUUAAGAUGCGGAAAUUAGAGGGGAGUAAGCAAAAACUAAAGGAGAAUUAGCAUGCAAAAACUACACAUUAGCAUAAUAUGAUCAAUAAUUGAGCGGUUAGGUGUUCGAUGAAUGAUUCUUGUGUAUGGAUAAAAUUUGAUUGAGAGGAAAAAAUUCAUCUCGUGCACCUUCUCUGACAAAGAUUAGUCACACCACUACUGAGAGGGAAGAACUAACCUUACACGUCCAGCAAAUUCUUCGGUAGAGAUUAGUUACUUCUAAAUGGCAGUAAAAACUUUGUCGUCUUAUAACGUGGUAACUAAAAAAUUUGUUUGUAGUAUUCUUUUGAGGUAAUUGUAACUGUUAAGAAGUCUCACAUCGGUUGCGAUAUGGCCUGACUAAGUAUUUAUAAACUAGAGGCAAUCCUCACUUUACAAGCCGGUUUUGUAAUGAUUAAUUAGACCCAAUACACAAUUCUAAGAGUAACUAGUGUGAGUCUAACGUUACCGCCAUAAUACAUAUUUGAUGUUCAUAAAGUGGUUUUGUCUAACAUGUAAACGUGACAAGUCUUUCACCAUGCAUAAGUAUAUUUUUGUUAUUUGAUCAAUAAAUUUUACCAUUUUUGGAUAAAAAUGCCACAUCAUAUCCAUUCGAUUCAAUGGGUGAUCCAAUGGUGAAAACAAGUUUGUGCAUGACAAAAUACUUGUCUCAUUUGUGCACCAUAAAUUUGGCCAUAUAAAACUAUAUAAGAGAUAAAGAGUGAAUAAAAUUUUGUUUCGCAAGUAUUGCUCAGUUGGUAACUACCAUAAAUAUUAUUGGAAGGGUCGGGAUCUGAACCCCAAAUUUCUCACUUUUCCACACUUACUGAGUGGGAGUCUAACCACUUGUCAAAGACAUCGCUCACUAUCCUAAAGAAGUAAACAUGACAUUGGCACAAGUGUUGAAGUAUUUCAUUCUUGCAAUAAAAUUUUAUUUUUCUACAAUCAAUAUUCAAUACUCUAUACAAAAGAAAACUCAUAUUUAAGUGUACAUACAUAUAUACUCCACAUUUUGUGUCAUCACAAUUAAUUUCCACUUUACAUAUUUUUCUUUCUUUCUUUCUUGGUUCUCUACUAUACAUAUUUUACUUAACCUCUAUAUUAUAAUCCUAUAAAAGUUCCUACAAUUGUUUGUUUGUUAAUAUACCCUUUUGUGGUAUAAUUAGUCAUGUAACUCAAUUUCAAGCUUUAGUGAAUCCAAGUUCAAAGGGUAUACCAGUAGCAGGUCCAGUAUUAGCAUACUCAGCAAAAUAACAUGUAUCAAGAAAUUGAGUCCCUGACCAAGGAAGAUAUCCAUCUGGUUGAAUUAAAUCACCUAUAGUAUUUUCCAUAAAUAUUGCUCUCGAAUACGCUUUCC